Molecule: ribosomal RNA, 440 nt
Filed under: uncultured bacterium
Lineage: Bacteria
Description: partial 16S ribosomal RNA
Rfam family: Bacterial small subunit ribosomal RNA
Source: RNAcentral
CCUACGGGUGGCAGCAGUGGGGAAUAUUGGGCAAUGGGCGCAAGCCUGACCCAGCAACGCCGCGUGAAGGAAGAAGGCUUUCGGGUUGUAAAGCUCUAUCAGCAGGGAAGAAAAUGACGGUACCUGACUAAGAAGCCCCGGCUAACUACGUGCCAGCAGCCGCGGUAAUACGUAGGGGGCAAGCGUUAUCCGGAUUUACUGGGUGUAAAGGGAGCGUAGACGGUUAAUCAAGUCAGAAGUGAAAACCCAGGGCUCAACCUUGGGACUGCUUUUGAAACUGAGUAGCUAGAGUGCAGGAGAGGUAAGCGGAAUUCCUAGUGUAGCGGUGAAAUGCGUAGAUAUUAGGAGGAACACCAGUGGCGAAGGCGGCUUACUGGACUGUAACUGACGUUGAGGCUCGAAAGCGUGGGGAGCGAACAGGAUUAGAUACCCCAGUAGUC